GACGAACGCUGGCGGCGUGCUUAACACAUGCAAGUCGAACGGAAAGGCCUGCUUUCCCUUGUGGAUUGCGGGUACACGAGUGGCGAACGGGUGAGUAACACGUGCGUGAUCUUCCCCCAACUUGGGUAUAAGCCUGGGAAACUCGGUCUAAUUCCCGAUAGGCCUGCAGGGUGGUGCCUGUGGUUGAAGACGAUUUUUUAGUGGUUGGCGUUGAGCUGUUGGCGUAUCAGCUUGUUGGUGGGGUAAUGGGCUACGAAGGCGGCGACGGGUAGGCGGCCGGGGAGGGUGGGCGGGAGCGUUGGGACUGAGAUACGGCGCAGGCUACUACGCGAGGCAGCAGUGGGGAGUAUUGCACGAUGGGUGGAAGCCUGAGGCAGCGAGGCCGCGUGGGCGAUGACGGGUUUCGGGUGGUAGACUCCUUGCGGCCGCGAGGAAGCCGCCUGGUUGGAAGGGUGGUGACGGUAGUGGUAGAAGAAGCACCGGCUAACUACGUG
This 494-nucleotide ribosomal RNA is filed under the name uncultured bacterium. Its description in RNAcentral is "partial 16S ribosomal RNA". It matches the Rfam family "Bacterial small subunit ribosomal RNA", at positions 28 to 507 of the family's 1533-position model. The record is from RNAcentral.